RNAcentral lists this unclassified non-coding RNA (2593 nucleotides) under Hevea brasiliensis (rubber tree). The record is from RNAcentral. Lineage: Eukaryota; Viridiplantae; Streptophyta; Magnoliopsida; Malpighiales; Euphorbiaceae.
AAAAGCAAUAACAGCGAAUUUCAUUAAAAAAAAAAAAAAUCGUUUUCAUGUUCAAAACUUUAACACGCACAAACCACUAUAAAUUACUCAAGUAUAGAGGAUAAACAGGUUAACCCAGCUAGAAGCCCUAAACAACACACAACACUCUGUAAUACGUAAGCCGAUUAACUUGGGCUGCUACCACUACUGUUACCGCCACUAGGAAGCUCCAUUCGGCCGCUACUAUUGUUGCUUCUGCUCCUCCUCCUACUCCUUAGAUUUCUUAUGGGUUAUAAUCCUCACCUCUGCCCACUUCACAAUAAGCUACUCGAGGAACUGAACUAACCCGGCUAUACUUUGAUAAACGGCACUCGUGAGAGCCAUUGGCUGCUGAUGAUCCUCUCCAAUCUCCAGAAUGGGCUUAUAAAGUUGGUACGUUGAAUACUGCAAACAAAAUUUCUACAAAUCCCAAGAUUGCACGUUGGGACACGAUAGCAGCACCCACAGCCAAUGCAAUAGACAAAAAUAACAUGGUCCUAAUGCAGCCAUGGCCUUUUGAUAGCCGUCCCAAAAUCACCUUGCAAUACUUGUCAGCUUCUCUUAAUGAUGCUUGGUGGCCAGCAUCUUCUACCUCUGCCAAUGCUUUCUCAUUCUUCUGCAUGAAACUCUUUAAAGUUUCCCUCAAUGAGUCGAGAUUAGGAUGUUUAACAGAGUACUCGUUCCAUUCAUCAGACAGCUUUCUCAGAACAAUUACACUUGCUUCAAGAUUACCCAGAUAUAACAGGUCCUAUUUCCAAACAGUAUCACAUACAAACAACAAAAGUCAAUUGUGCGUAUGUCAAUAGACAAGUCCAAGUUCUAAAUAAAAUACAGAGAGAGAGAGGAGGUCAUAGAUAACACCAAAUGCUUACCCAUUGCUUGUAACAUUCAGAGUUUUGUGCCAAACACCAAAUAAAAACAUCACUAGCUUCUCUUGAUAGGUCAGGGACACCUAUAAACAUCAUCACCAAUUAAACGCUGAUACAUAGUCAUAGACAGAAAGAAUCGACUGUUGACAAGCAAUGCAUUUAGGUUACCACCACCUUCUCCAGCAGCUUUGAAUGCAGAGUUCAAUAUCUGCUGUGUAACUUGAUUCAUUGCUUUGCUUCCAGAGGAACCAGCAAGAGCAAUUUCUUUUAAGAUUGGAUAAACAGCUUCAAACCUCUCAGUUGCCUAUAGUAAAACAAGCAUGAAAAAUUGCCUCUGAUCUCAAGUUUCUCUUAUCCAUUUACACAUGCUGCAUUAAAAUACCCACCUUAACUCGACCUGAUGGAGCUGGGAAUGUCACUCUCAUCAGAAGUUCAAAAGCUGAUGGGGGCACUAUGCGUUCACCCUUUUUAAUGGCACCAUUUAGUAAAAUUGGUCGUGCCUUUGGGAAGGACAAAAUUCUCUCAACCAACUGCAAGAUCAAGUCCCUAUAUUGCGGAUUACUGCUUGAUUUACCACUCAGUAUAGGCAAGAGAACAUGCGUCCACAUGUACAACCCCACUACCAAAUCUCCUAGGGAUGCCUGAGCAAUCAUCCACACUGUGACUGGAAGCUUGUCUUGUCCUUGAUAUUUUGGAUUUUCUCUUAUUAUUGGUAAUAAAUUGAUCAAUACAUCAGGCUUUCUUCGUAAUGCCAUUGCUAAAAUAACAAAUAUAGCUACCUGAGACUUUGAUGGUAAUUGCUGCGACACUUUUUUGGAUCCCUUGGCAGCUGCUUGAUGACUAGCAAGGUCGUCAAAAAUGCUAUCCAAUGACCACAGCACAAAGGACCCAAGUGCUUCAUGAGAUCGCUGGCCAAGCCAAUCCACAGCUAUCUUGUAAACAUCUUCAGAUAUAUGAGAAAGAGGAAUAUCAACGAACUUAGACACUGAGGCCUCUCUGAAGGUCUUCAACCAAGGGAAUUGCGCCGAGCUUACUGAUGCAAACGCCCUUCCAAAGUAAUCCGCAAAUCGGAUUAGCUGUAUAUCCUGCUGCGUCUCAUAUGAUGAGGUUAUAUCAACAAGAAACGCGCCAAGUUCACCAGCAUCGAUCAUCGCAGCCGCCUCCGCCACCGUCACCUUUGGCUUCUUUGGUUUCUUUGCCUUCACCUUCUUAGUCUCCCCGUUGGCACCUCCGCCAGGAGCUUUGGCAUCGCUGUCUCUGUCGUCAUUGGAAUGCUCCUUCGAUCCGUUCCCUGAGACGGAAUAUUCACCAACAGCGGCGGAGGCUCGCUGCGCCUCGAGUAUUUUCUGUCGGCGAUCCUCAGAAUAUUGCUCAAUGGAGCGGAACACAUCCGGACUAGUGGCGGUGAUACCAUUGUAAUGAGAGCCGGAGGAAUUCUCCGGCGGUGGGAGUUUCGAAUGCUUCCUGCUUCGCUUGUGAUAGGAUACCGUUUGCCAUUCGCCGUCGUUUUGCUUUGUAUAGUCAUCAUGGAUGUACAUUUGUUCUUCUUCUGUGAGAAAACGAUCCGCAUGAGCUGCGUUCUCAUCCAUGACUCGUAGAAACGGCAGUUUUUCUCCAAAAACGACAGAGAGAAACUGUGAUAUGUUUACACGUCGACAAGCGAGAGAGAAAAAUACAGGAGAAGAGGGUGGGUCUGGUUUUAAAAG